Molecule: small RNA, 133 nt
Filed under: Klebsiella variicola
Lineage: Bacteria; Pseudomonadati; Pseudomonadota; Gammaproteobacteria; Enterobacterales; Enterobacteriaceae
Also listed under: 4 other names
Description: RtT sRNA
Rfam family: RtT RNA
About the family: This family represents a bacterial cis-regulatory element known as RtT RNA. The exact function of RtT is unknown although it is thought that it may be involved in changing the cellular response in relation to amino acid starvation.
Source: RNAcentral
UAUUCUGCCCUACGGGGAAGGAUGAGAAGCUUCGACCAAGGUUCGACUCGAGCGCCAGCGAGAGAACGUUGCCGCAGGCAACGGCCCGAAGGGCGAGGCGCUUUAGCGCCGAGUUAUCCUUCCCCCUCUAUUC